This 26-nucleotide small RNA is filed under the name Bombyx mori (domestic silkworm). RNAcentral's name for it is "ovarian small RNA-5933". The record is from RNAcentral. Lineage: Eukaryota; Metazoa; Arthropoda; Insecta; Lepidoptera; Bombycidae.
UACACGCUAUGCUUGACGGUCCUCGC